Molecule: non-coding RNA, 72 nt
Organism: Ixodes scapularis (black-legged tick)
Lineage: Eukaryota; Metazoa; Arthropoda; Arachnida; Ixodida; Ixodidae
Source: Rfam
CCCUGGUUAGCUCAGUUGGUAGAGCGCUCCACCUGUGAUGGAGAGUCCCGGGUUCGAUACCCGGACCAGGCG